UACGUAGGGUGCGAGCGUUGUCCGGAAUUAUUGGGCGUAAAGAGCUCGUAGGCGGUUUGUCGCGUCGACUGUGAAAACCUACAGCUUAACUGUGGGCUUGCAGUCGAUACGGGCAGACUUGAGUUCGGUAGGGGAGACUGGAAUCCUGGUGUAGCGGUGAAAUGCGCAGAUAUCAAGGAGGAACACCGGUGGCGAAGGCGGGUCUCUGGGCCGGUACCGACGCUGAGGAGCGAAAGCGUGGGGAGCGAACAGG
Molecule: ribosomal RNA, 253 nt
Filed under: uncultured bacterium
Lineage: Bacteria
Description: partial 16S ribosomal RNA
Rfam family: Bacterial small subunit ribosomal RNA
Source: RNAcentral